AGCAUUUGUCUCUUGAGCUGCACAAGGAAGCACUGGAAGGCUGACAAAGGAUCGUGCUGCUGCAGGGCAGGGGCCAGAGCGCCGCAGAGAUGCGUCGCUCCAGAUUGCUUCAAGGGGCACCGGAUCACGUUUUGGAGCACAAUGUUUAGGGGAACUUCAGGAGCUCAGAGAAUGUUGCUGCCAUCAAUAGACUGGGGACCAGGAAGAAACGCAACUGCCAUGAACUUCCUCCUUCUCCCCACUUGAAAAGUCAAGAACUUUCCAUGCCUGCUGUGAUUCUCAGCCUCACCAUGACAAACGGGGAGAGCGACUGAUGAAAUGAUGCAUGUCCUAGCUUACUCUACGGCUGACUGCUCCGCUUCCCUCGCGUUUCCCGCUUGCACCGACUGCUGUAUUGCAGCCAUAUAGAUUAUAUGACAAGUCAAGUUUGGGUUGAGUGGAGUGCUGCCAUCUCUUGGUUAUUUUGGGCAGAUCGACUCACAUAUUUUUUCAUUUUCCUGCCACUCAAGAAUGGUAUGAAGUAACACAGAAAAACAACUAUUCUGGAUGAAAAAGUUUAGGCACUUAGGAAGUGUAAUUGUGGUUUUCAUAGAUCCAAGCAUGUAGAACAGAGUACAUUUGCUGGUGCAUUGGAUCUCUGUGUAACUUCUGUUAAGCGUUUUUAACAAACCUAUAAACCAUGAACAGUUGGAACAGUUUAUAUAUGAUGUGAGCACCAAAAAAAAAAA
This is a long non-coding RNA of Parus major (Great Tit), 728 nucleotides long. RefSeq lists it as uncharacterized. NCBI's taxonomy places the organism in Eukaryota, Metazoa, Chordata, Aves, Passeriformes, Paridae. The record is from RefSeq and is a predicted model, not a curated record. The transcript is spliced from 2 exons.